CGGGGGGGGCAAGCGUUGUUCGGAAUUACUGGGCGUAAAGGGCGCGUAGGCUGCUCGCUAAGUCGGGUGUGAAAACUCUGGGCUCGACCCAGAGCCUGCAUUCGAAACUGACGAGCUAGAGUUCUGGAGGGGAAAGCGGAAUUCCUGGUGUAGCGGUGAAAUGCGUAGAUAUCAGGAGGAACACCGGUGGCGAAGGCGGCUUUCUGGACAGAAACUGACGCUGAGGCGCGAAAGCUAGGGGAGCAAACAGGAUUAGAUACCCUGGUAGUCCUAGCCCUAAACGAUGGAUACUUGCUGUGAGGGGGAUUGAAUCCCUUCGUGGCGAAGCUAACGCAUUAAGUAUCCCGCCUGGGGAGUACGGUCGCAGGGCUG
RNAcentral lists this ribosomal RNA (372 nucleotides) under uncultured organism. RNAcentral describes it as "bacterial SSU rRNA". It matches the Rfam family "Bacterial small subunit ribosomal RNA", at positions 526 to 896 of the family's 1533-position model. The record is from RNAcentral.